Molecule: unclassified non-coding RNA, 920 nt
Filed under: Penaeus monodon (black tiger shrimp)
Lineage: Eukaryota; Metazoa; Arthropoda; Malacostraca; Decapoda; Penaeidae
Description: oocyte zinc finger protein XlCOF26-like, transcript variant X4
Source: RNAcentral
AACAAACGGUGACGUCAUCAUCCAGCCGCCGUCGACGUGAAUGACAGGUCGCGGGAAUUGUCUGUCUGCUUGCUACCUUUUGAGACUCGUGAGGGAUAUUUCUACGAAGGACAGGUGUAAUUGGCUAUAUAUGAGCCGUAAAGAAAGAUCAGAAGGAAAGGAUCCAAGAGGAUGUAGACAAUAUUAUAGUCUGAAUACGCUAUAAAAAGGGAGAAGAAGAAGAGGUGUCUGUCUUCUGCUGCUGAUAGUUGGGAUGGCCGUGACCUGACAGUGAUUACGCAUCUGUAAGGCGAAGGACGUCGGAAAAUAUGUGUGGACUGCUGUUAAGCUCCCAGUUGGUUCUGUAAUUUUAGCAGUUAGCGACUGAAGCUAAGGGUAUCGUAGUUGCAUUUCAGGACGGGAUAAAUAUAUUGCCUCACUGUAGAUAGACUUUACAGUUAGCAGGGCAGUGAACUAAUGAACAGAUGCAGAGAUAAUUACGGAAAGGAAUAGAGCUCGUCAAGAAGGCCUGCAAAUUAGAAACUAUAAGAACAAAAACCAAAGAUCGCCGCUGCAAAUGGUGUGGCAUAGUAUACAGCUACACAGAGAGCUGGUAUGUAAUGUGCCAUAUAAAAGUGUGCAGAAAGCUUGUUGACACAGGAGAGGCAGCUUGUGCCUUAGAAAGUCUUGUGAUGAGGCAUCACCUUUACCACAAGCUGAUAUGUCUUUUGAAGAAGUGUAUAAAAGAUUUAUUGAAAAUGAAAGGAUGAAAGACCAAAUGAUUCACUCUGUGGAAAAGGCUUUCACUUGCACUGAGUGUGGAAAAAAGUUCGAGCGAGCUGCCACUCUGAAGAAACAUAGAGAGACUCACUCUGCAGAAUACUUAUUUGAGUGUUCUAAGUGUGGGAAAAGGUUUAGGGAAAAUGAUACCCUAGAGAUAC